This 383-nucleotide RNase P RNA is filed under the name Ignavibacteriota bacterium. RNAcentral describes it as "Ignavibacteriae bacterium RNase P RNA component class A". It matches the Rfam family "Bacterial RNase P class A". Rfam says of the family: Ribonuclease P (RNase P) is a ubiquitous endoribonuclease, found in archaea, bacteria and eukarya as well as chloroplasts and mitochondria. Its best characterised activity is the generation of mature 5'-ends of tRNAs by cleaving the 5'-leader elements of precursor-tRNAs. RNAcentral also lists the same sequence under 5 other names. Lineage: Bacteria; Pseudomonadati; Ignavibacteriota. The record is from RNAcentral.
UGCUCUGUCAUAAGAAACCGCGCGGUUCCGUUAAUCGGAAAGUGAGGAAAGUCCGGACUCCAUUAAAGCAGAGGUGCCAGGUGAAUAACCAGGCGAUAAUAGGUGUAAACCUUUUAUCGGGAAACUGUAACAGAAAAUAUACCUCCGUUCAAAUACGGUAAGGGUGAAAUGGCCGGGUAAGAGCCGACCGGUGGAAGUGUGAAUUUCCAGCCUUACAGUCCCAUUUGGAGCAAAGCCAUGUAUAGGAAGCAUGAAGCUACUGCUUGCUUUUUAAUCUUCCGGGGUAGGCUGCAAAAAGUCCGGUAGUGAUACCUGACUAAGAUAAAUGGUUAUCUGCCGUGUAAAAAACGGUACAGAAUCCGGCUUAUUUGGCAGAGCAGUUG